UAGUGGAAGGGCAUAUACCAGUCAAACUCGCCAUUUUGCCUCGUAAUGCACAUGCUUUAGCCCACUCGCCCAACUCCUGAUAUGUUAUCGUGAAAUAGACGGGGUUUCACCUUGUUAGCCAGGAUGGUCUCCAUCUCCUGACCUCGAGAUCCACCCGCCUAGGCCUUCCAAAGUGCUGGGAUUAUAGGCGUCAGCCACCGCUCACGGCCACCAAUUUUAUCUUUCAAUCUAAACUGAGUGAUGUCCAGCUGCCAUGGGUAUUGAUAGAACCAUUUUAUUUCCAGAUGCAAUUGAGGAUUAAUGACUCAGUUUGCUACAUUCUCCAGCAUUCUAUAUCUUCUGAAAGAAGUUGUCAUUUGCGUUAAGAUAAUAGGCAUUCAACCCACAAAUGUGAAAGGCAAACACCCAGGUGCCAAGCAGGACACCCAAAGAACCUUCUUAACAUUUGAGUGAAGGAAAGAGCAACAUAUAUAUUUUACAGUAACUAUAUAUAGCCUGCAAUGAUUUUAUAACUUCAGUAAGAGGAGGAGGAGAAACUGCUGUGGUCAUCGUCAUAGUAACCACCAGCAAAUUUUAGAUUCUUAGUAAAUCUAUUACUUUUUAAUGUGUGACAUAA
Molecule: long non-coding RNA, 616 nt
Organism: Symphalangus syndactylus (siamang)
Lineage: Eukaryota; Metazoa; Chordata; Mammalia; Primates; Hylobatidae
Source: RefSeq, a predicted model, not a curated record